RNAcentral lists this ribosomal RNA (449 nucleotides) under uncultured bacterium. RNAcentral's name for it is "partial 16S ribosomal RNA". It matches the Rfam family "Bacterial small subunit ribosomal RNA", at positions 29 to 523 of the family's 1533-position model. The record is from RNAcentral.
AGCGAACGCUGGCGGCAGGCCUAACACAUGCAAGUCGAACGGAUCCUUCGGGAUUAGUGGCGGACGGGUGAGUAACACGUGGGAACGUGCCCUUUGGUUCGGAACAACUCAGGGAAGCUUGAGCUAAUACCGGAUGUGCCCUUCGGGGGAAAGAUUUAUCGCCAUUGGAGCGGCCCGCGUCUGAUUAGCUAGUUGGUGAGGUAAAGGCUCACCAAGGCGACGAUCAGCAGCUGGUCUGAGAGGAUGAUCAGCCACAUUGGGACUGAGACACGGCCCAAACUCCUACGGGAGGCAGCAGUGGGGAAUCUUGCGCAAUGGGCGAAAGCCUGACGCAGCCAUGCCGCGUGAAUGAUGAAGGUCUUAGGAUUGUAAAAUUCUUUCACCGGGGACGAUAAUGACGGUACCCGGAGAAGAAGCCCCGGCUAACUUCGUGCCAGCCGCCGCGGUAA